GGUUGGAGUGCGUCCAGGAUGCUGGGUGCCUUCGUUGGCUGUACCUGGGCUAGAAUAGAAUAGUCUCUUCUUGCUAAGCUCGCAGAUUUCUUCUGCCUGCAGUAGUCAGACGAGCGUUUCCUGAAAUAAAGUGGCAUUAUGGUGGUCCUUUCUAGGCAUUUAGGAGAUGCUGCAAAAUUCUAUGGCCUCUACUUGAUGCCCUGAUAAUGCCCUCCCCAACAUUGCCUCUGCUAAGAGAUUGCUUGGAUGGCUUGGUUUUAAAUUUUUAAAUGAUACAUUGAACCAUUUGACCAGAAAAAAAAAAAAAGGAUACAUAACUGAAGGUCCUUAAUGCAGUAUUUAAAAAAUAUUAAAAAGUUGGGCCAAGAAAUUGAUACGAAAUGCAAACAGGUCACGGUGGGAUGUUCUAGUCAUAAUAUAGCCAGUUUUUCUAGGCACAGAAGGCUUCUAAGGCUCCCGGGGAUUUGACAGGCACAGUGGAUGGCAGACGUUCUUGGAAGAAUGGGUUCUUGACAAGAUAGGUUGGCAGCCUCGAUGGUUUGUUCUGGAUAAUGGAAUCCUGUCCUACUAUGACUCACAGGACGAUGUCUGCAAAGGGAGCAAAGGGAGUAUAAAGAUGGCG
This 622-nucleotide long non-coding RNA is filed under the name Rattus norvegicus (Norway rat). RNAcentral describes it as "long non-coding RNA NONRATT018289". Lineage: Eukaryota; Metazoa; Chordata; Mammalia; Rodentia; Muridae. The record is from RNAcentral.